Oreochromis aureus is the source of this 3070-nucleotide long non-coding RNA. NCBI's taxonomy places the organism in Eukaryota, Metazoa, Chordata, Actinopteri, Cichliformes, Cichlidae. The record is from Ensembl.
CUAACAAUGAAAAUGUGCUUUCAGGCGUGAAAGAAAUGCUCUCUUCUAAAUUCCAAAUGAAAGAUCUGGGGAAACUUAACCAUUUUCUAGGAAUAGAUUUUCUUCAAGAAAAAGAAUGUGUCAAAAUGUCACAGAAAAUAUAUAUUGAAAACAUUUUAAAAAGAUUUAACAUGCAAAACUGUAAGCCAAGGUUAACACCCUGUGAACAGAAAUGGACUCAUUCUGAUAAAUUCGAGACAUUACCAGAUGUGAGGAGAUAUCGUGAAGCGGUAGGAUGUCUUAUUUAUCUGAGCUAUUGUACGCGACCUGAUUUAAGCUAUGUUGUUAGCAAAUUGUCACAACACUUCAAUGCGCCAACCGUUGAUGAUUGGACAGCAGUGAAACAUGUUCUGAGGUAUCUAAAAGGUAGUCGAGGAAAAGAACUGUGUUUUAGGAAAUGUUCAAGUGGAAAACUAGGUCUACAAGCAUAUAGUGAUGCAGAUUGGGCAUCCGAUGUUUCUGAUAGACGCAGUAUGACAGGUUAUUGUGUAAGCCUAAAUGAAAAUGGUCCUUUGAUAUCAUGGAAAACCAAAAAGCAGACAACUACAGCACUAUCAACUUGUGAAGCCGAAUACAUGGCAUUAGCAGCAACAAUUCAGGAAUGUAUGUAUUUGACUUAUUUGAUUCGAGAUCUUGAUGAAUUUAAGUAUGAAGUACCUAUGAUAUGGGAGGACAAUCAGGGAACAAUCGCUUUGUCAAAAAAUCCAGUGAACAGACAAAGAUGUAAACACAUUGAUGUGAAAUAUCAUUUUAUAAGGUCAGCUGUACAUGAAAGGAAAGUGCUCAUUGAUUACUGUCCAACUGAGUCAAUGGUAGCAGAUAUGAUGACGAAACCAGUUUCAAAGUCUAAGUUAGACAAAUUCUCUGUAUUUGUGUUUGGAAUGUAAGAUGUUUUUUUCCGGAGGACUGUUUUUCCCCAACCUGUCUACAAGUGGGGGUGUUGGAUUGUGUGUCCACAGGUGUUUGUACUUUGCGUCACAAUAAAAAUGACGGUAAAAGGCUCCGCCCACCACCUAUCCAUGUCUCGCCAUGCAACGACUUUGUAGAUGGACUGGAGAUGUGUAGUGGAAGAGUCCUCCGUCAGGAAUGAGAUAUGUGUGUUGACUUUUUAUUCUCCCUCAAAAUUAUUAUGCCAUAACGCUGCCCAGAGCAGCUCUGCUAACAGAAAAACUCAAAAACCGGGAAUCCCCGGCAGCCUACGUCUAUUGCAGCAUAACUGAGGGAGGAUUCAGGGUCACCUGGUCCAGCCCUAACUAUAUGCUUUAGCAAAAAGGAAAGUUUUAAGCCUAAUCUUGAAAGUAGAGAUAGUGUCUGCACUCAAAAAAAUCAACUAGGGCAUGUGUUUGAUUAACACUCAUUAAAUGAUUCAUUCUUUUUAGUUGAAUAUGAAUCAGAGAAAAACUUUGAUGAGUUAAAUUCGUUCAUGACAAUCCAAUGAGAAUGAGGUCCAUCAAACCAACAGCUCUGAUAGUGUCAUGUAUUGCGCAUGCUCCACGCCCACCGGAUGCGGAAAGGUCCGUUGAGACGUUAACGAGCGCACGUGGAGUUACUUCUUUGGCAUACCUGAUAGUGAGAGUCGCUAAUUGUUGCAACAGAGCAAAAACUGAUGAGGCUAUUUUGAUUGACAAGGAAUUCCUGCGCAUAUCGACAGUACCGCUGCUAUCUAGAUUCUUUUAUGAGCUAGACUUGUACACUCCACGCAUGAUGGAGCUCUUUCGAGGCAAAGGUGGGGUGGCUGGCAGAAAAAUGAGACACAUCAUGGUGGCCAUCUCCAAGGAUGACACAAUACAUACAAGGCGAGCAUGCAUCCUGAAGUCCUUGUGUUCACCUGAACGAAGACCAUGAGAAACUUGUGAAGGAAUAUAUGAACACUGAGGCCAACACUGAAGCCAUGGAACAAACUGUGAUGGGAGUGUACGUCAUACAGCAGGAGGGUGCGGAGCCUGGAGAUGACCCAGAGAACAUCGGUGUCCUGAUUGGAGGCGUUGAGGUUCUCACUGGUUUGAGGAGCAUUGCAAUUGCUUGUGCUCUGUUAUUUGGACUGAUAUACUGUCUGAACCUAAGCUACCCACCGGAGCUCAAAUGCACUUUUGAAGUCUUGCAAAAGAUUAUCAUGAAGCUGGAUGGGCAGAGGUUGUCAUCCAAGGCACAGUUACUAAAAAAACAAGCUAAUGGGGUGAAUGAGCUUGAAACAGACUCAGGCAAGCCAGAUAUUUUUUUCAAGAUUUCUGCAAUGCAAAUAUGUGUUUACCGUUUUAAAGUUUAAAAUUGUAAGUUAUAAAAUGUUCAUAUAAACUAUGUGGUUUGCUCUGUGGCUAUUAGACAAAGAUUGUUCGUUCAUAACUUAAAGUCUUAUACACUUGAAGUGUAAACACUGAUUUUUGCCAGAUGGGCAAUUGUUACAAAGGCAAAUGCACACUGGUUUUCGCAAAUUGUUUGAGUGGAGCAGUUAUACUCAAAAUUGAAUGUUUUCUCCACACGUUAAAUAGCAUAAAGUCACUAUUAAUAGAUACAGCCUGAUUAAAUGGAGGACUAAUGUAUGAAAGCAACAUAGUAAUGUUGUAAUGUUAUAGUAAUGUUGAAUGUUAUGUCUGAGCUUUAAAUUGUGUUAAAAUUCAUAUUGUUGUUUGCAAUGCAUAUUUUACUACAUUUUAAGAAAGUUGCUUUGGGGAUAAUAUUUUUUGUCUGCAAACUAUUCAACAGACUUAUUUCAUUUUUUAUUAUUAGGGUUAUUUUAUUGUAUUUUUUCUUUUAGUCAGAAUGUCUUGAUCUGGAAGUUCUGUGGUCUUAGUAUGAGAUGGUUGAAGGGGAGAAAGCUAGGCUGAACUGGGAUCCUGCCAACUGUUUUAAGAAUGUUCAAGCAAAAUAAAAGAGAUGGUUUUGCAAGUUAUCAUUUAUGUAUGUUUCGUUAAUUUAAUUAAAAGUAAUGUUUACAUAAGCAAUACAAACAUGAUUGGUGUAAGUACUACAGACAUAAAUUACAUUUGUUCAUUCAACAAGAUUAACAUUGGUGUAACAAACAAAUAUUUUA